Molecule: ribosomal RNA, 393 nt
Filed under: uncultured bacterium
Lineage: Bacteria
Description: bacterial SSU rRNA
Rfam family: Bacterial small subunit ribosomal RNA
Source: RNAcentral
GACGAACGCUGGCGGCGUGCUUAACACCUGCAAGUGGAGCGACGAACCAGGGCUUGCCCUGGGGCAGAGCCGCGAACGGGUGAGUAACACGUGGGUAACGUGCCCCGAUGAUCGGGACAACCCGGGGAAACCCGGGCUAAUACCGAAUGUGCUCCCCUCACACCAGUGAGGGAUGGAAAGGAAGCUUCGGCCUCCGCAUCGGGAUCGGCCCGCGGCCCAUUAGCUUGUUGGUGAGGUAACGGCUCACCAAGGCUGCGAUGGGUAGCUGGUCUGAGAGGACGAUCAGCCACACUGGGACUGAGACACGGCCCAGACUCUACGGGAGGCAGCAGUGGGGAAUCUUGCGCAAUGCGCGAAAGCGUGACGCAGCAACGCCGCGUGGGGAAGACGGCC